UAGGAUGACCAAUCAUCCUGGUUUGCCAAGGACUAAGAAGUUUUCCAAAAUAUGGAACUUAUAGUGCUACAAUUGAAAAUUUUCUGGACAAACUGGAAUGAAUUGGUCAUCCCAGAAUCAA
This 121-nucleotide microRNA precursor is filed under the name Marmota monax (woodchuck). The record is from RNAcentral. Lineage: Eukaryota; Metazoa; Chordata; Mammalia; Rodentia; Sciuridae.